Marmota monax (woodchuck) is the source of this 1479-nucleotide long non-coding RNA. RefSeq lists it as uncharacterized. NCBI's taxonomy places the organism in Eukaryota, Metazoa, Chordata, Mammalia, Rodentia, Sciuridae. The transcript has 2 exons. The record is from RefSeq and is a predicted model, not a curated record.
GAGGCUAGGGGCAGGAAAAGCUAUGGUCAAAUAAAAAACUGUCCAAACAAAUAGUCUCCCAAUCACCCCCAGCCAUGCUUAUACAGCCCUCUGGCUCUGUACCAGGCAGCCAGUUGUCCAGCCAGACUGUUCCAGUUCUUUCCACCCCCAUCUCCACCUUUAAAAGCCAGUUCUAGAUCCAAGGUUGAGAUCAAUGUCCAGAGGGGUAAUUCUGAUUCGUUCCACUCACCUCACCUCAGACUCUCUCUCCACCUCAACCCAUGAGCCACUCUGCAAAGCCACAGGGCAAAGCUUAUUCUCCAGAAGCCCCUGUCUCCCAAAUUCAGGAGAGAGCCAGAGAUUCCAGAACCUCCCCACCCAUAGGAACAAAGGGGCCUUUCUUCAGGGCCUCCACAAACUGAUACCCCAGUCAGGAGAAGAGACCAAACUGACAGGGGUUAAGGCCACAGGCUGUAGAGGUGGUUUCCAGAGCAAUGGAGGUGGAAGGGCAGACCUGAAGCAGUCCCUGGGAAAGAGCCCACACUGCCGCAGGACCCCUGCCUGAUGAAAGCUGUGGGGCUUGGUUGCAUCAUCUGCAUGGUUCCAGAGCUGGCGGGAAAGGCUCGGGUUGCGGGUCGAAGACGAGAACCCACUCGUUAGCCAGCACAGUGUCUGUUUAGCAGCCGGCGCAGUCCUCUCCCCUAAUGCCACGUUAAAUGGGCGGUCACGAGGCCCUGGGGCAUCUGACUGCCAGAACGAAGAGAGAACCCAGUUCACCCCACGCGCGCCCGGGAGUUUCAGGGAUUCCCUAGUUACACAUCCGCUGAGGCCCAAGAACACGUGCAGUGUAAAAGCCAGGAGAAUCCGAGAGUUUGUGAAUGGGCAAAGGUAGGAAGUAGGGCUAAUCACUGGUUAUCCAGUCUCCGGAGCCCCGUUCUUACCCGAGCCACCCGGAGGAAAGAAAAGGGCAGCAUCGCAACUCCACGUCGCAGGAGGUACAGCCACCAACUCUGGUCGGAGAGUAGCAAAAUGUUGGAAAACACCGUUCCGAGAGCGCAUGCGCGAGAACGACCCGAGAAGCCCGGCAAGGGAAGGAGAACACGCGUGCGCAAUGGUGCCACCUUUGUGGCCUUUUGGGAAUUGUAGUUUUCUUCCGCUUCAUUCCACAUCUGUAGCCCCAAGGCUAAAGAACCUUGCUUGAAAGAAUACUGGACUGCUACAUAUUCUAACUAUCCUGAAGAUAUCCGGGAUUUCUUUUUCCUGUCAAUUGUUAAGACAAGAGUUUAUUGGAUAUCUACUGAAUAUCGAGUAUUCUUAGGCUCUCUGGGAAAUCCAGAGACUCCCAUACAAGAUAGGGUAGUGCUGUGGAAAUCACUGUGGUUUGAAAGGGUGGGACACUUGAGUUCAAGUUUCAACCCCAGGUAGUAGCAAAUUAGCUUGCUGUACCUCAGUUUCUUCAUUUGUAAAGUCAUAAUAAAAUAUCAUGCGGUGGGGAUGAAA